This 2891-nucleotide ribosomal RNA is filed under the name Pseudomonas aeruginosa. RNAcentral's name for it is "23S ribosomal RNA". It matches the Rfam family "Bacterial large subunit ribosomal RNA". RNAcentral also lists the same sequence under 1 other name. Lineage: Bacteria; Pseudomonadati; Pseudomonadota; Gammaproteobacteria; Pseudomonadales; Pseudomonadaceae. The record is from RNAcentral.
GGUCAAGUGAAGAAGCGCAUACGGUGGAUGCCUUGGCAGUCAGAGGCGAUGAAAGACGUGGUAGCCUGCGAUAAGCUUCGGGGAGUCGGCAAACAGACUUUGAUCCGGAGAUCUCUGAAUGGGGGAACCCACCUAGGAUAACCUAGGUAUCUUGUACUGAAUCCAUAGGUGCAAGAGGCGAACCAGGGGAACUGAAACAUCUAAGUACCCUGAGGAAAAGAAAUCAACCGAGAUUCCCUUAGUAGUGGCGAGCGAACGGGGACUAGCCCUUAAGCUUCAUUGAUUUUAGCGGAACGCUCUGGAAAGUGCGGCCAUAGUGGGUGAUAGCCCUGUACGCGAAAGGAUCUUUGAAGUGAAAUCGAGUAGGACGGAGCACGAGAAACUUUGUCUGAACAUGGGGGGACCAUCCUCCAAGGCUAAAUACUACUGACUGACCGAUAGUGAACCAGUACCGUGAGGGAAAGGCGAAAAGAACCCCGGAGAGGGGAGUGAAAUAGAACCUGAAACCGUAUGCGUACAAGCAGUGGGAGCCUACUUGUUAGGUGACUGCGUACCUUUUGUAUAAUGGGUCAGCGACUUAUAUUCAGUGGCGAGCUUAACCGAAUAGGGUAGGCGUAGCGAAAGCGAGUCUUAAUAGGGCGUUUAGUCGCUGGGUAUAGACCCGAAACCGGGCGAUCUAUCCAUGAGCAGGUUGAAGGUUAGGUAACACUGACUGGAGGACCGAACCCACUCCCGUUGAAAAGGUAGGGGAUGACUUGUGGAUCGGAGUGAAAGGCUAAUCAAGCUCGGAGAUAGCUGGUUCUCCUCGAAAGCUAUUUAGGUAGCGCCUCAUGUAUCACUCUGGGGGGUAGAGCACUGUUUCGGCUAGGGGGUCAUCCCGACUUACCAAACCGAUGCAAACUCCGAAUACCCAGAAGUGCCGAGCAUGGGAGACACACGGCGGGUGCUAACGUCCGUCGUGAAAAGGGAAACAACCCAGACCGCCAGCUAAGGUCCCAAAGUUGUGGUUAAGUGGUAAACGAUGUGGGAAGGCUUAGACAGCUAGGAGGUUGGCUUAGAAGCAGCCAUCCUUUAAAGAAAGCGUAAUAGCUCACUAGUCGAGUCGGCCUGCGCGGAAGAUGUAACGGGGCUCAAACCACACACCGAAGCUGCGGGUGUCACGUAAGUGACGCGGUAGAGGAGCGUUCUGUAAGCCUGUGAAGGUGAGUUGAGAAGCUUGCUGGAGGUAUCAGAAGUGCGAAUGCUGACAUGAGUAACGACAAUGGGUGUGAAAAACACCCACGCCGAAAGACCAAGGGUUCCUGCGCAACGUUAAUCGACGCAGGGUUAGUCGGUUCCUAAGGCGAGGCUGAAAAGCGUAGUCGAUGGGAAACAGGUUAAUAUUCCUGUACUUCUGGUUACUGCGAUGGAGGGACGGAGAAGGCUAGGCCAGCUUGGCGUUGGUUGUCCAAGUUUAAGGUGGUAGGCUGAAAUCUUAGGUAAAUCCGGGGUUUCAAGGCCGAGAGCUGAUGACGAGUCGUCUUUUAGAUGACGAAGUGGUUGAUGCCAUGCUUCCAAGAAAAGCUUCUAAGCUUCAGGUAACCAGGAACCGUACCCCAAACCGACACAGGUGGUCGGGUAGAGAAUACCAAGGCGCUUGAGAGAACUCGGGUGAAGGAACUAGGCAAAAUGGCACCGUAACUUCGGGAGAAGGUGCGCCGGCUAGGGUGAAGGAUUUACUCCGUAAGCUCUGGCUGGUCGAAGAUACCAGGCCGCUGCGACUGUUUAUUAAAAACACAGCACUCUGCAAACACGAAAGUGGACGUAUAGGGUGUGACGCCUGCCCGGUGCCGGAAGGUUAAUUGAUGGGGUUAGCGCAAGCGAAGCUCUUGAUCGAAGCCCCGGUAAACGGCGGCCGUAACUAUAACGGUCCUAAGGUAGCGAAAUUCCUUGUCGGGUAAGUUCCGACCUGCACGAAUGGCGUAACGAUGGCGGCGCUGUCUCCACCCGAGACUCAGUGAAAUUGAAAUCGCUGUGAAGAUGCAGUGUAUCCGCGGCUAGACGGAAAGACCCCGUGAACCUUUACUGUAGCUUUGCACUGGACUUUGAGCCUGCUUGUGUAGGAUAGGUGGGAGGCUUUGAAGCGUGGACGCCAGUUCGCGUGGAGCCAUCCUUGAAAUACCACCCUGGCAUGCUUGAGGUUCUAACUCUGGUCCGUGAUCCGGAUCGAGGACAGUGUAUGGUGGGCAGUUUGACUGGGGCGGUCUCCUCCUAAAGAGUAACGGAGGAGUACGAAGGUGCGCUCAGACCGGUCGGAAAUCGGUCGCAGAGUAUAAAGGCAAAAGCGCGCUUGACUGCGAGACAGACACGUCGAGCAGGUACGAAAGUAGGUCUUAGUGAUCCGGUGGUUCUGUAUGGAAGGGCCAUCGCUCAACGGAUAAAAGGUACUCCGGGGAUAACAGGCUGAUACCGCCCAAGAGUUCAUAUCGACGGCGGUGUUUGGCACCUCGAUGUCGGCUCAUCACAUCCUGGGGCUGAAGCCGGUCCCAAGGGUAUGGCUGUUCGCCAUUUAAAGUGGUACGCGAGCUGGGUUUAGAACGUCGUGAGACAGUUCGGUCCCUAUCUGCCGUGGACGUUUGAGAUUUGAGAGGGGCUGCUCCUAGUACGAGAGGACCGGAGUGGACGAACCUCUGGUGUUCCGGUUGUCACGCCAGUGGCAUUGCCGGGUAGCUAUGUUCGGAAAAGAUAACCGCUGAAAGCAUCUAAGCGGGAAACUUGCCUCAAGAUGAGAUCUCACUGGGAACUUGAUUCCCCUGAAGGGCCGUCGAAGACUACGACGUUGAUAGGCUGGGUGUGUAAGCGUUGUGAGGCGUUGAGCUAACCAGUACUAAUUGCCCGUGAGGCUUGACCAU